UUUUGAAUCAAAAUGUUAAAAUGAUUGUACCGUAAGACAAAGGUAUUAAAACACCAGCCUUGAUAAAAGGAUCAGAAGCAUUCAAUCCAUUUACCUAAAAUCUUAGAAGUGAUCAAAUUAACUAAUAAGGAGCGGCUUUUCAAGAAACAACCUAUUGUUAUGGUGAUAGAUGCACAAUGAAAGGUUGCCAGCCCAAAUGCACUCCCCAUCAUGUGGAUUUGGACUUUGGAGGAACCAGGUUUAUCCUUUCACUACAGGCGCUCUGGAACCUCUUUGGAAGGAAAAAAGUUGGAACCUUGAGCUGCUUGUGGAUGACAUCUGCCCACCGAUUCUCCAAUGGAUCAGGGCAGGACAGUGUAUACGCCAGUAUGGAGCAGAGGUCAUAGUGGAUCACGAUGUUCACCACAAGGGAAGCUAGGGCUUCCGUUUAUGGAGGAGUGAAAAGUCAUGCCAGGGCUUGUGAAUUAGAAUUGUAGUUGCUCUUAUUAGGUUAAUAAAUAUAAAUGGAUAGUGAAGAACAUGAAUUAGAAUUGAUGGUCUAUAUAAUCCAGAUAGAGAAACUAUAACUUUUGAUGUGGUCAUGCUUAGACAGCAUGUAAAAUAAUUUUAGGUUCUGAUGCUCAAUCCUGGCUUUUGGCAUUGGCAAAAAAAUUUAUAUUUAGUGUUAACAGUUUAUGUUGGAAUACUUGUCCACAUUGGAAAAAUACAAAGAUGAAAAGGAUGAAUAUAAGUGAUUGGUUUGCAAUAUUGAAUUAGCUAAUUAUUUUGAUGUGUAAAACAAUUCAAUCACUUGUAUAUAAACCUCUAUUAAAAUGUAUUAAUACAUGAUUUGCCUAGUACUAUCUCCAAAUUUGACAAUAUCAAGCCUAUAAUACAAUACCUGCGCAAAUUUCUUUAUAGCCGGCAUAUUGUGUUUGGCUCUUCAUAUAGUAUUUCAUAGAUGUUAUACUUGGAAAUUUACAUGAUGUUGUGUUUGGCUUUAUAGCAUGCAUUGCCAGUUGGAAAUAGCCCGUAGCUUUUAUAUAGACCUUCAUAAAUGUUACUUUUAGAAUCUCUGAAGUUUUUAUGAAUUUUAAUUAGUAAGUUGCAUUUUAAUUUCUGAGCUUCUUCCUUACCAAAAACUUUUUAAAAAAUGAUCUUCAAAUUUUCAUCAUCAUUCUGAAUCUUAUAAUUUAACUGUUUCUACUGACCAAUCUUCUUGCAGCCUUUUAGAGAAAAUCUAUCUUUUGAACUUAUGAUCGUGGGACUUCGUCUCCUAAAGAAUGCAUAGAUAUUCUUAUUUUUGUCUCACAGUUUUCCUAGGUGUUAUAUUAUUCCAAAACCAUGAGAUAUUGCUAAUAUUAAAGGGAUGUCAAUCAAUCAUUCAUUUGUUUUUUGUUUCCCUCUCAUUAGUCAUUUUUCAAACUCAAUUAUGUGUAUCUUUUCCUGCUUCCUUGUUCAAAUGGUUUAAUAUCGUAGUACAGGUAUCGCUGGAGCAAGGAAGCAUUGCUACUAUCACAGAACACAUGCUUGACUGCGAAGUUAUUGCAAUGGUUAUAAUCUUGGGGUAGAAACUUUCGUUAUGUAGGAUAAUUUUUGUGCAACUUUGCGAUUCUAUGUUUCGAUGUAUUUUUCAUUACUUUAGUCAAACUGAAAGGCAAGAAGGAAGUUGAUAAACUGUUAAUUUAAGAUUGGUGAUUUUUGUCUGUAGGCCAUAGCUGAAGCACAUUCAAACUCAAGUUCAAGAAAAUGAGAGAGGGAUGGUGUCUGAACAAUUGCACAUGCCUUUACAUGGCUUAAAUGGCCAUGUAAAAUGAAAUUCUAGUAAUUGCUUCACCAAGCUGUUAUUUGUUGUAUCUUGCGGCGGAUUUGGUCCUAAGGCAUGUAUUUAAUCUCAAUGCCACGGGAAUCUCACUGAGUGUUUUUAAUUCUCAUGUUUAAUUCCUUUGACAUUGAAUGAGUACUGCAUUCCAAUAUUAUGAACUAGCUUGCGUCUUGACCAUAAUUAAUUUUUCUUAAUCUAUAAAUAUGAAUAGCAAUAGUUUACUGAACCCCACCAAGGGAAAACAAAGCUUGAAAUUGGAGGAAAUGUUAAAGGCAUCUUUUAUCUGGGACCUGGUAUAGUUGUUCCCUGGAAGCCUGGCACCGGUUGAGGAAGAUGAUAGCUGCCUGAUGUCUUUGUGCAUGAUGAAAACACUGGGUAAUCUCUUCCUUCUGAGUAAUCACCUUCCAACCACCAUUUGUGAUGAUGUAGAAAAUUACUAGCCUAUUAAGCAAUUUUUUAUUGCAUCCAAGGAUUCAUUUAAUGGGAGGAUUAGGUGGUUCUAGCUUCUACAAAGUUUUCAAGAAGGAUAUAUUCUAGCUUCUAUAAAGUUUUCAAGAAGGAUAUUGAUUUUCAAUAUGCAG
This 2385-nucleotide unclassified non-coding RNA is filed under the name Hevea brasiliensis (rubber tree). Lineage: Eukaryota; Viridiplantae; Streptophyta; Magnoliopsida; Malpighiales; Euphorbiaceae. The record is from RNAcentral.